GAUAUCAAGAACGUGUAAGUUGGCGCAGCUUGAGCUCUUUCACGUUAGCGCUUUAAGGCCGGUCGUCCACCUAAAAGACAUUUGUUUACGACAUGUCGUCGACGUGUCGCCGACAUGUCGCUUUUUAUCAGAACUCAUAGUUUUGAAUUGCCUCUCGUACAUUAAACGGACACGUCGCAAACGAGCCAGUACUUGUCUGCGACAAUUUGUAUACGACACUGCUUGCUGUGUUUUCAAGUGACAUUUGUCGUUUGUUCAAUACCGUGAACGUGUGUGUGCAGCGAAAAUAUGAAGGACGACCCUAAUUUUAAUAUUAAAUUUAUGGAAGCUGUUGAAAAGUACAGGGUAUUAUAUGAUUACACUUUAAGCGAAUAUUCAAACAGACAAAUUCAGGAAAAAACAUGGAAUGAAGUUGGAAAGGGACUCAAUGAAAUAGGUGCAGCCUGCAAAGAAAAAUGGAAAAAUAUUCGAUCGCCUAUGCCCGACACUUAAGACAAACGCCUCCAUCUGGUUCUGCAGCAAAACCUAAGAAAACCUAUUAUUUGGCUGAAUAUUUGCAUUUUCUUAUACCUUUUUCCAAAUCGAGAAUUCAACAGAGUAAUAUUCCUUUACAACAACUAGUAGAAGAUGAAGAUAAGGAUAGCAGUUCUAGCGAUGUUAAUGAAGUUGCCAGCGAUAAUUUGGAUCAAUGUUCUGCAACAAAUGAAACCGAAAUAGUGGCAAAUAAAAAUGUUGAAAAUAUUGAAGAACCUAUUUUUAAAAAACAGAAAACCCUAGCUAAAUUUCAUACUGAUACUAAAACCCAAAAACUGAGACAAGCAAAAUCGAAUCCAUUGGAGAAAUGCGCUAUAGAUUAUUUCCAUUUUAAAAAUACUACAAAAGAAAUCGACGAUCCGGAUUUGCAAUAAUUUUUAAAAAGCCUUUUACCAGAUAUACACAGAAUGAACCAUACUCAGAAGCAUCAGUUUAAAAUGCGAACCAUGCAAACAAUAGAUGAUAUAAUAUAUCCAUCAGAGCCACAAACACGUUCUUUUAAAGCCGUUAAUAUAUCACAUACACAAUCAUCAGACUUGCUAAACUUAGGGGGUAUGACAUCCUCAAGAAACCUAUCCCAGAUUUCCACAAGAUGGUUCCGAUCGACUACUGUCAAAGAGCUCCUCGACACGUACUGAGUCCCCGCAGUACAUUCAAUUAACAGCACCAUCUUAUUCGAGAAAUGUAAAUAUCCCACCACUGAUUUCACCCAAUCAAUCAAUAACACCAUGUUCAUAUUCAACCAUUUCAAGUGCUCCAUCACCAUUAAUAUCUCCAAGCGAUGACGAUUAUUGAUUUUCUACUUGCAGUUACUACUACUAAGUUUAUUGUUACAAUGUUGUUUACAGGUUAGUUUAUCCCCGUCAAUUACUUUCUGUGUAAUAAAGAAAUAAUAAAAAUAUUUUUUUACUUA
Molecule: long non-coding RNA, 1447 nt
Organism: Anthonomus grandis grandis
Lineage: Eukaryota; Metazoa; Arthropoda; Insecta; Coleoptera; Curculionidae
Exons: 2
Source: RefSeq, a predicted model, not a curated record